Molecule: ribosomal RNA, 2893 nt
Filed under: Escherichia coli
Lineage: Bacteria; Pseudomonadati; Pseudomonadota; Gammaproteobacteria; Enterobacterales; Enterobacteriaceae
Description: bacterial LSU rRNA
Rfam family: Bacterial large subunit ribosomal RNA
Source: RNAcentral
ACUAAGCGUACACGGUGGAUGCCCUGGCAGUCAGAGGCGAUGAAGGACGUGCUAAUCUGCGAUAAGCGUCGGUGAGGUGAUAUGAACCGUUAUAACCGGCGAUUUCCGAAUGGGGAAACCCAGUGUGUUUCGACACACUAUCAUUAACUGAAUCCAUAGGUUAAUGAGGCGAACCGGGGGAACUGAAACAUCUAAGUACCCCGAGGAAAAGAAAUCAACCGAGAUUCCCCCAGUAGCGGCGAGCGAACGGGGAGGAGCCCAGAGCCUGAAUCAGUGUGUGUGUUAGUGGAAGCGUCUGGAAAGGCGCGCGAUACAGGGUGACAGCCCCGUACACAAAAAUGCACAUACUGUGAGCUCGAUGAGUAGGGCGGGACACGUGGUAUCCUGUCUGAAUAUGGGGGGACCAUCCUCCAAGGCUAAAUACUCCUGACUGACCGAUAGUGAACCAGUACCGUGAGGGAAAGGCGAAAAGAACCCCGGCGAGGGGAGUGAAAAAGAACCUGAAACCGUGUACGUACAAGCAGUGGGAGCCUCUUAAUGGGGUGACUGCGUACCUUUUGUAUAAUGGGUCAGCGACUUAUAUUCUGUAGCAAGGUUAACCGAAUAGGGGAGCCGAAGGGAAACCGAGUCUUAACUGGGCGUUUAGUUGCAGGGUAUAGACCCGAAACCCGGUGAUCUAGCCAUGGGCAGGUUGAAGGUUGGGUAACACUAACUGGAGGACCGAACCGACUAAUGUUGAAAAAUUAGCGGAUGACUUGUGGCUGGGGGUGAAAGGCCAAUCAAACCGGGAGAUAGCUGGUUCUCCCCGAAAGCUAUUUAGGUAGCGCCUCGUGAAUUCAUCUCCGGGGGUAGAGCACUGUUUCGGCAAGGGGGUCAUCCCGACUUACCAACCCGAUGCAAACUGCGAAUACCGGAGAAUGUUAUCACGGGAGACACACGGCGGGUGCUAACGUCCGUCGUGAAGAGGGAAACAACCCAGACCGCCAGCUAAGGUCCCAAAGUCAUGGUUAAGUGGGAAACGAUGUGGGAAGGCCCAGACAGCCAGGAUGUUGGCUUAGAAGCAGCCAUCAUUUAAAGAAAGCGUAAUAGCUCACUGGUCGAGUCGGCCUGCGCGGAAGAUGUAACGGGGCUAAACCAUGCACCGAAGCUGCGGCAGCGACAUUAUGUGUUGUUGGGUAGGGGAGCGUUCUGUAAGCCUGUGAAGGUGGCCUGUGAGGGUUGCUGGAGGUAUCAGAAGUGCGAAUGCUGACAUAAGUAACGAUAAAGCGGGUGAAAAGCCCGCUCGCCGGAAGACCAAGGGUUCCUGUCCAACGUUAAUCGGGGCAGGGUGAGUCGACCCCUAAGGCGAGGCCGAAAGGCGUAGUCGAUGGGAAACAGGUUAAUAUUCCUGUACUUGGUGUUACUGCGAAGGGGGGACGGAGAAGGCUAUGUUGGCCGGGCGACGGUUGUCCCGGUUUAAGCGUGUAGGCUGGUUUUCCAGGCAAAUCCGGAAAAUCAAGGCUGAGGCGUGAUGACGAGGCACUACGGUGCUGAAGCAACAAAUGCCCUGCUUCCAGGAAAAGCCUCUAAGCAUCAGGUAACAUCAAAUCGUACCCCAAACCGACACAGGUGGUCAGGUAGAGAAUACCAAGGCGCUUGAGAGAACUCGGGUGAAGGAACUAGGCAAAAUGGUGCCGUAACUUCGGGAGAAGGCACGCUGAUAUGUAGGUGAAGCGACUUGCUCGUGGAGCUGAAAUCAGUCGAAGAUACCAGCUGGCUGCAACUGUUUAUUAAAAACACAGCACUGUGCAAACACGAAAGUGGACGUAUACGGUGUGACGCCUGCCCGGUGCCGGAAGGUUAAUUGAUGGGGUUAGCGGCAACGCGAAGCUCUUGAUCGAAGCCCCGGUAAACGGCGGCCGUAACUAUAACGGUCCUAAGGUAGCGAAAUUCCUUGUCGGGUAAGUUCCGACCUGCACGAAUGGCGUAAUGAUGGCCAGGCUGUCUCCACCCGAGACUCAGUGAAAUUGAACUCGCUGUGAAGAUGCAGUGUACCCGCGGCAAGACGGAAAGACCCCGUGAACCUUUACUAUAGCUUGACACUGAACAUUGAGCCUUGAUGUGUAGGAUAGGUGGGAGGCUUUGAAGUGUGGACGCCAGUCUGCAUGGAGCCGACCUUGAAAUACCACCCUUUAAUGUUUGAUGUUCUAACGUGGGCCCGUAAUCCGGGUUGCGGACAGUGUCUGGUGGGUAGUUUGACUGGGGCGGUCUCCUCCUAAAGAGUAACGGAGGAGCACGAAGGUUGGCUAAUCCUGGUCGGACAUCAGGAGGUUAGUGCAAUGGCAUAAGCCAGCUUGACUGCGAGCGUGACGGCGCGAGCAGGUGCGAAAGCAGGUCAUAGUGAUCCGGUGGUUCUGAAUGGAAGGGCCAUCGCUCAACGGAUAAAAGGUACUCCGGGGAUAACAGGCUGAUACCGCCCAAGAGUUCAUAUCGACGGCGGUGUUUGGCACCUCGAUGUCGGCUCAUCACAUCCUGGGGCUGAAGUAGGUCCCAAGGGUAUGGCUGUUCGCCAUUUAAAGUGGUACGCGAGCUGGGUUUAGAACGUCGUGAGACAGUUCGGUCCCUAUCUGCCGUGGGCGCUGGAGAACUGAGGGGGGCUGCUCCUAGUACGAGAGGACCGGAGUGGACGCAUCACUGGUGUUCGGGUUGUCAUGCCAAUGGCACUGCCCGGUAGCUAAAUGCGGAAGAGAUAAGUGCUGAAAGCAUCUAAGCACGAAACUUGCCCCGAGAUGAGUUCUCCCUGACUCCUUGAGAGUCCUGAAGGAACGUUGAAGACGACGACGUUGAUAGGCCGGGUGUGUAAGCGCAGCGAUGCGUUGAGCUAACCGGUACUAAUGAACCGUGAGGCUUAACC